AUACGGAGGGUGCGAGCGUUAAGCGGAAUUACUGGGCGUAAAGGGUGCGUAGGCGGCUUGAUAAGUCGGAUGUGAAAGCCCCGGGCUUAACCUGGGAAUUGCAUUCGAUACUGUCAGGCUAGAGUAUGUCAGAGGUUGGCGGAAUUCCUGGUGUAGCGGUGAAAUGCGUAGAUAUCAGGAGGAACACCAGUGGCGAAGGCGGCUAACUGGGACAAUACUGACGCUGAGGCACGAAAGCGUGGGGAGCAAACAGGAUUAGAAACCCUAGUAGUCC
This 274-nucleotide ribosomal RNA is filed under the name uncultured bacterium. RNAcentral's name for it is "partial 16S ribosomal RNA". It matches the Rfam family "Bacterial small subunit ribosomal RNA", at positions 523 to 796 of the family's 1533-position model. The record is from RNAcentral.